This 217-nucleotide ribosomal RNA is filed under the name uncultured bacterium. RNAcentral describes it as "partial 16S ribosomal RNA". It matches the Rfam family "Bacterial small subunit ribosomal RNA", at positions 1284 to 1500 of the family's 1533-position model. The record is from RNAcentral.
ACCCCCAGUUCGGAUUGAAGGCUGAAAUUCGCCUUCAUGAAGCCGGAAUUGCUAGUAAUGGCAGGUCAGCAUACUGCCGUGAAUACGUUCCCGGGCCUUGUACACACCGCCCGUCACACCAUGAGAGUUGGGAAUACCCGAAGCCUGUGAGCCAACUGUAAAGAGGCAGCAGUCGAAGGUAGAAUCAAUGAUUGGGGUGAAGUCGUAACAAGGUAAC